UCCCUGGUGGCUCAGAUGGUAAAGCAUCUGCCUGCAAUGCGGGAGACCCAGGUUCGAUUCCUGGGUUGGGAA
Transfer RNA from Ovis aries (sheep), 72 nucleotides. It matches the Rfam family "tRNA". From Rfam's summary of the family: Transfer RNA (tRNA) molecules are approximately 80 nucleotides in length. Lineage: Eukaryota; Metazoa; Chordata; Mammalia; Artiodactyla; Bovidae. The record is from Rfam.